Molecule: ribosomal RNA, 241 nt
Filed under: uncultured Actinomycetales bacterium
Lineage: Bacteria; Bacillati; Actinomycetota; Actinomycetes; Actinomycetales
Description: partial 16S ribosomal RNA
Rfam family: Bacterial small subunit ribosomal RNA
Source: RNAcentral
ACUCGAGUGGCGAACGGGUGAGUAACACGUGGGUGAUCUACCCUGCACUUCGGGAUAAGCUUGGGAAACUGGGUCUAAUACCGGAUAGGAGCCAUCUUUAGUGUGGUGGUUGGAAAGUUUUUCGGUGUAGGAUGAGCUCGCGGCCUAUCAGCUUGUUGGUGGGGUAAUGGCCUACCAAGGCGGCGACGGGUAGCCGGCCUGAGAGGGUGUACGGCCACAUUGGGACUGAGAUACGGCCCAG